AACGAACGCUGGCGGCAGGCUUAACACAUGCAAGUCGAACGCCCCGCAAGGGGAGUGGCAGACGGGUGAGUAACGCGUGGGAAUCUACCUAGUUCUACGGAACAACAGUCGGAAACGACUGCUAAUACCGUAUACGCCCUAUGGGGGAAAGAUUUAUCGGAAUUAGAUGAGCCCGCGUUGGAUUAGCUAGUUGGUGAGGUAAUGGCUCACCAAGGUGACGAUCCAUAGCUGGUCUGAGAGGAUGAUCAGCCACACUGGGACUGAGACACGGCCCAGACUCCUACGGGAGGCAGCAGUGGGGAAUAUUGGACAAUGGGCGCAAGCCUGAUCCAGCCAUGCCGCGUGAGUGAUGAAGGCCUUAGGGUUGUAAAGCUCUUUCACCGAUGAAGAUAAUGACGGUAGUCGGAGAAGAAGCCCCGGCUAACUUCGUGCCAGCCGCCGCCGUAA
RNAcentral lists this ribosomal RNA (447 nucleotides) under uncultured bacterium. Its description in RNAcentral is "partial 16S ribosomal RNA". It matches the Rfam family "Bacterial small subunit ribosomal RNA", at positions 29 to 523 of the family's 1533-position model. The record is from RNAcentral.